Molecule: ribosomal RNA, 403 nt
Filed under: Verrucomicrobiota bacterium
Lineage: Bacteria; Pseudomonadati; Verrucomicrobiota
Description: Verrucomicrobia bacterium partial 16S ribosomal RNA
Rfam family: Bacterial small subunit ribosomal RNA
Source: RNAcentral
UGGGGAAUAUUGCACAAUGGGCGCAAGCCUGAUGCAGCAACGCCGCGUGAACGAUGAAGGUCUUCGGAUCGUAAAGUUCUGUUGCAGGGGAAGAUAAUGACGGUACCCUGUGAGGAAGCCCCGGCUAACUACGUGCCAGCAGCCGCGGUAAUACGUAGGGGGCUAGCGUUAUCCGGAUUUACUGGGCGUAAAGGGUGCGUAGGUGGUCUUUCAAGUCGGUGGUUAAAGGCUACGGCUCAACCGUAGUUAGCCUCCGAAACUGGAAGACUUGAGUGCAGGAGAGGAAAGGGGAAGUCCCAGUGUAGCGGUGAAAUGCGUAGAUAUUGGGAGGAACACCAGUAGCGAAGGCGGCUUUCUGGACUGCAACUGACACUGAGGCACGAAAGCGUGGGUAGCAAACAGG